This 605-nucleotide ribosomal RNA is filed under the name Candida albicans. RNAcentral's name for it is "LSU rRNA". It matches the Rfam family "Eukaryotic large subunit ribosomal RNA", at positions 47 to 667 of the family's 3401-position model. Lineage: Eukaryota; Fungi; Ascomycota; Pichiomycetes; Serinales; Debaryomycetaceae. The record is from RNAcentral.
UAAGCGGAGGAAAAGAAACCACCAGGGAUUGCCUCAGUAGCGGCGAGUGAAGCGGCAAAAGCUCAAAUUUGAAAUCUGGCGUCUUUGGCGUCCGAGUUGUAAUUUGAAGAAGGUAUCUUUGGGCCCGGCUCUUGUCUAUGUUCCUUGGAACAGGACGUCACAGAGGGUGAGAAUCCCGUGCGAUGAGAUGACCCGGGUCUGUGUAAAGUUCCUUCGACGAGUCGAGUUGUUUGGGAAUGCAGCUCUAAGUGGGUGGUAAAUUCCAUCUAAAGCUAAAUAUUGGCGAGAGACCGAUAGCGAACAAGUACAGUGAUGGAAAGAUGAAAAGAACUUUGAAAAGAGAGUGAAAAAGUACGUGAAAUUGUUGAAAGGGAAGGGCUUGAGAUCAGACUUGGUAUUUUGCAUGCUGCUCUCUCGGGGGCGGCCGCUGCGGUUUACCGGGCCAGCAUCGGUUUGGAGCGGCAGGAUAAUGGCGGAGGAAUGUGGCACGGCUUCUGCUGUGUGUUAUAGCCUCUGACGAUACUGCCAGCCUAGACCGAGGACUGCGGUUUUUACCUAGGAUGUUGGCAUAAUGAUCUUAAGUCGCCCGUCUUGAAACACGGACC